CUGAUCCUUAAACUUAGCUAACCCCCGCUCCCCAACACCAUCACCAGCACUCCACACCGAACGCGAUACCAAGCAGACUUGUUGCUGAGCUAGCAGCUUGUCAGCUACCACAGGCUAACCACAACAAAUCAUACCGAAGAAACACUGCAGCAUGGAGGGAUGCGAAUGUAGCAGGAUGGGCCUUUAAUUAGUGCUGCAGUACCGGCCUAUCACGGUUGGUUGCGCUGCCUAUAAAGGUGAGUGAUUGUGGACUGGGAGCCCUCUUGCCUCGGAGCUACAGACUGCCCCGCCUCCUGUUAUCACCGCACCUGGCCGCCUCACCUGAUCGCCUUUUCAGCUGGGUCGUGCAGCUCGCCGUUGUUUGGCAGUUCAUUGGCCGGGUCUUCCUUCUCCCGUAUCGGCCCCAAUUGUAGGGCAUGCGAGUGUUUUCCUCCAUUGCCGGUUGCAGCGGGGAGCGAUCAGCUGAUCGAUCGAGUUGCACGUAAUUGUGCUGCUCGACGCAAGUGAUCCCCUUCCUCCCCUUUGAUGUUCAUUCAACUCCUGACGGGUUGACGUGUGUGUGGGCGGUUUCUGCCAGCACGUUUCCCCCCCCUCUUCACGCUGCUGUUGGCCGGCUGCUGUUUUGCCCACUGGCUUAUAUAGCCAACACAUCCAUCCUACUCUGCAUCUCCUACUGUGCUGUACCUGCCACCGAGUAUGGUGACUGCUGCCUCAUCCUCAGUCUCAUCUUAAUCUAUUCAGUUAACCGACUUCUAACUGAUCUUAUUGAUGAUAUUAUUUGUGUUUUGUGGUUUGCUUUGCAUGUUUUUGGUUUAAUUCGUUUUCUUAGUUAUUUUGGUUUGGCUUAAUUGCUUUACCUAUUUAUUUGGAUUUAUCAGUUUGGAUAAAUCUCAAUCAAUCAAUCAAUCAAUCAAAUUUUAUUUGUAUAGCCCAUAUUCACAAAUUACAAUUCAUCUCAUAGGGCUUUAACAGGGUGUGACAUCCU
Long non-coding RNA from Platichthys flesus (European flounder), 985 nucleotides. RefSeq lists it as uncharacterized. The transcript is spliced from 3 exons. The record is from RefSeq and is a predicted model, not a curated record. Lineage: Eukaryota; Metazoa; Chordata; Actinopteri; Pleuronectiformes; Pleuronectidae.